Cyanistes caeruleus (blue tit) is the source of this 1365-nucleotide long non-coding RNA. NCBI's taxonomy places the organism in Eukaryota, Metazoa, Chordata, Aves, Passeriformes, Paridae. The record is from Ensembl.
GUUCUGAGCAGUCAACACCAGGCAUUUGAGCAACUUCACUCAUUUCCGGGAUGACAAGCAGCCAUAAGUCCUUACAGAAGCAUUUUCUUGAUGAAACAUUUUCUGAAGCCAUGGAGCUGAUGAGAUCCUCCAUUUCCCUGAUUGCUUUCCACUCUUCUAGAAUGUGAAUGGGGGACCAUGUUGGAGAGAUGGAAAUGGGACAGAAAUUGCCACUGCUAUCCUCUUCUUGACUUCUGGCUGAGCUAUAUAGCAGAAUUGGAUGCCAUAAAUUGCAAACGUGAAGAACUUCAUUUGAACUCUUGAAGAAAAGGAGAAACUUGGCUUGUGCCACUUUAUCAUGCACUUUAAUUGAAAGCAAAUGUAUUUAACCUCUUUGAAAGCUUAGAAAAGCUUUCAAAUGUAAAUUUGUGAACCUUAAACAAAAAACCGGAGUACAUUUAAAAAAAAAAAUUCUACAUGUAAACCAGGUGAUAUUUCAGCAUAAAAUCAAAAUAGUUUCAUGAUUUACUUUUAAAAAGCGUGUUACAUACUAAAUAUUAUUAAAGCCUUGCUUAGCCCACAGUCAGAUGCUGAAGACCUAUUACUGAUGUUGUGAAUACUAAUUGCUUCCACCACAUUAUCUUUGUUGUGAAGCUUCACCUCCUGAUGAAUGUAACCAGUCUCUGGAUGCCAAAUCAGCCCUAUCAAGUUCAAGUCAAAGGUCUGGCAACAACAGAACCUUUCCCCACUCAUCGAGUGCAUUAACAUAUUGCCAAGUUCCCUGCUCUACGUGAGCUCCUCGUGCUGGGGGAUCCAUCUGAAGGGAGGUGCUGAUGCUGCUGGAAGGAUUCUGAAUUGAGCUGCAGUACAGAGCUGCCUGCUGUUGGUCAGCCAACUGCAGCUGAAAUACGUGGUGGUGGCACAUCUGGAAAUGAACACAAAAAUGUGAAAGGAAGGUGCUCUACAUCUGCACUAACCCUUCUUUUAUAUAGGGCUUACCCUGAGUUUGUCCUGACCUACCUAGAGGAGCUAAAUGAAAGAGAGGAGGUGACCCAGACAGAAAACUGUAUUCACCAUGGGGCCUGGUCUGCAGCUCAUCAGGAGAUAGACAGCAGCUCAGCAGAAGAGGUCACAGUAUUAAGCCAGAGGCAGGUUCUGCAAAAAAAUGUCAGCAACCCCAAUCAGAAACAACUUUCAGGACCUUUGGACGCCCAUUUAAUGCCUGCAGAUCCCCUGGGGGAGACUACACAGCUGACAGUGGCACUGGUGAGGAAACUAGAAGAGAAACAUCCUAAGGCCUCAGCUCAAAGGGAAUGGGAGAUUGGAAUGAAGGAGAAGCAGGGAAGGAAAUGCAUUGAUUUCACCAGGUCCUGGUUUCCAAUAUAG